CCUACGGGAGGCAGCAGUGGGGAAUAUUGGUCAAUGGGCGCGACCCUGAACCAGCCAAGCAGCGUGAAGGAUGACUGCCCUCCGGGUUGUAAACUUCUUUUAUAAAGGAGUAAAGUGAGGCACGUGUGCCUUUUUGUAUGUACUUUAUGAAUAAGGAUCGGCUAACUCCGUGCCAGCAGCCUCGGUAAUACGGAGGGUCCGAGCGUUAUCCGGAUUUAUUGGGUUUAAAGGGAGCGUAGAUGGGUUGGUAAGUCAGUUGUGAAAGUUUGCGGAGCAACCGUAAAAUUGCAAUUGAUACUGGCAGUCUGGAGUACAGUUGAGGUAGGCGGAAUUCGUGGUGUAGCGGUGAAAUGCUUAGAUAUCACGAAGAACUCCGAUUGCGAAGGCAGCUUACUAAACUGCCACUGACAUUGAUGCUCGAAAGCGUGGGUAUCAAACAGGAUUAGAUACCCGGGUAGUC
RNAcentral lists this ribosomal RNA (460 nucleotides) under uncultured bacterium. RNAcentral's name for it is "partial 16S ribosomal RNA". It matches the Rfam family "Bacterial small subunit ribosomal RNA", at positions 338 to 795 of the family's 1533-position model. The record is from RNAcentral.